UACGAAGGGUGCAAGCGUUACUCGGAAUUACUGGGCGUAAAGCGUGCGUAGGUGGUUCGUUAAGUCUGUCGUGAAAGCCCCGGGCUCAACCUGGGAAUGGCGAUGGAUACUGGCGGGCUAGAGUGCGGUAGAGGAGAGUGGAAUUCCCGGUGUAGCAGUGAAAUGCGUAGAGAUCGGGAGGAACAUCAGUUGCGAAGGCGGCUCUCUGGACCAGCACUGACACUGAGGCACGAAGGCCAGGGGAGCAAACGGG
RNAcentral lists this ribosomal RNA (253 nucleotides) under uncultured bacterium. RNAcentral's name for it is "partial 16S ribosomal RNA". It matches the Rfam family "Bacterial small subunit ribosomal RNA", at positions 524 to 776 of the family's 1533-position model. The record is from RNAcentral.